This 362-nucleotide transfer-messenger RNA is filed under the name Effusibacillus dendaii. It matches the Rfam family "transfer-messenger RNA". Rfam says of the family: Bacterial tmRNA, also known as 10Sa RNA or SsrA, is named for its dual tRNA and mRNA-like properties. Its role is to liberate the mRNA from a stalled ribosome. The record is from Rfam by way of RNAcentral. Lineage: Bacteria; Bacillati; Bacillota; Bacilli; Caryophanales; Alicyclobacillaceae.
GGGGGCGUUUUUGGAUUCGACGGGGAUUGUUCGAGCAUGAGCAGCGGGUCGUGGGGCUGCGGACACGUUAAAAACGCGGACUUAAAAUUAAACGCAAACAAACAACCUAAACUCGCUCUCGCUGCUUAAUUGCAGCUAGGCCGCCCUGUUCGCUAUCUCCGGUGUAGGGGAUAGGGCGUCAUCGCAGCCGGAUAGCCUGAAUGCAUCGGUCUGUGUGCUUCAGGCGAAACUUAGCCGACUAGCCAACCGUUAGCCUGUCCCUCGGCGAACGCGCGGCGAAACCCAAAUAGAGCGGACUGCACCCGGAGAAACUUAUGUAGCGAGGUCUUCGGACAGGGGUUCGAUUCCCCUCGCCUCCACCA